RNAcentral lists this ribosomal RNA (395 nucleotides) under uncultured bacterium. RNAcentral describes it as "partial 16S ribosomal RNA". It matches the Rfam family "Bacterial small subunit ribosomal RNA", at positions 523 to 918 of the family's 1533-position model. The record is from RNAcentral.
AUACGUAGGGUGCAAGCGUUAAUCGGAAUUACUGGGCGUAAAGCGUGCGCAGGCGGUUUUGUAAGAAAGGGGUGAAAUCCCCGGGCUCCACCUGGGGACUGCCCUUGUUAACGCAAGGCCGGAGUGCGGCAGAGGGGGAUGGAAUUCCGCGGGUAGCAGGGAAAUGCGUAGAUAUGCGGAGGAACACCGAUGGCGAAGGCAAUCCCCUGGGCCUGCACUGACGCUCAUGCACGAAAGCGUGGGGAGCAAACAGGAUUAGAUACCCUGGUAGUCCACGCCCUAAACGAUGUCAACUGGUUGUUGGGGAUUUAUUUUCUCAGUAACGAAGCUAACGCGUGAAGUUGACCGCCUGGGGAGUACGGCCGCAAGGUUAAAACUCAAAGGAAUUGGCGGGG